Molecule: long non-coding RNA, 255 nt
Organism: Ctenopharyngodon idella (grass carp)
Lineage: Eukaryota; Metazoa; Chordata; Actinopteri; Cypriniformes; Xenocyprididae
Exons: 3
Source: RefSeq, a predicted model, not a curated record
UCAAACUCCUCCAGCUCUUCCUCUGAUGUCAACAACACAAAGACCAAAGCAGACCACUGGGCAGGUGAAAGGUCACCAGAUGAGAGACUUCCUUUGCUAAGACCCCGUAAGAGUCGGCGAUUGGACUGGAGUGACAGACCGAGGAGGAAGCGAAGGAAAAGGUCCAGACUCAUGAUCAAACACACUUGUCUUGUUGAUGUCUAGAAACAGAUGUGCAUAAAGGGCUGCAAUAAACUCUUGAAUGCUCAAGUGAAC